UUAAUUCUCUUUUCUUUCUUUUUCUCUGCCCUUCCAGUUGAAACUAUGGAACAAAUUCCGGGUGUCCAACAUCCCCUCGCUGAUAUUUAUAGAUGCCAACACUGGGAAAGUGGUUUGUCGGAAUGGCCUCUUGGUGAUCCGAGAUGACCCAGAAGGCCUGGAGUUCCCGUGGGGUCCCCGGCCAUUCAGCGAGGUGGUGGCCGGCCCUCUUCUCCGAAAUAGCGGGCCUGCCCUUGACAGCAGCGUCUUGGAAGGCUCCCACGUCGGGGUUUAUUUCUCUGCUCACUGGUGCCCACCCUGUAGAAGUCUCACUCGGGUUCUGGUGGAAUCUUACCGGAAAAUCAAAGAUGCUGGUCAAAAAUUCGAGAUUGUCUUUGUUAGUGCAGACAGGUCGGAAGAGUCGU
Molecule: long non-coding RNA, 404 nt
Filed under: Pseudonaja textilis
Lineage: Eukaryota; Metazoa; Chordata; Lepidosauria; Squamata; Elapidae
Description: lncRNA (ENSPTXG00000007711.1)
Source: RNAcentral